AAAACCGACUCAGGUGGACGGGGUGAAUAUCCCAAGGCGCGUGAGAGAACCCUGGUUAAGGAACUCUGCAAAUUGACACCGUAACUUCGGGAGAAGGUGUGCCGCUGGCGGUUAGUGACUUCGCGUCACGAAGCUGUCGGUGGUCGCAGUGAAAUGGCGGUUGUGACUGUUUACUAAAAACACAGGACUCUGCGAAGUCGUAAGACGACGUAUAGGGUCUGAUGCCUGCCCGGUGCUGGAAGGUUAAGGGGAUAUGUCAUCGCAAGCGAAGCAUUGAACCGAAGCCCCAGUAAACGGCGGCCGUAACAAUAACGGUCCUAAGGUAGCGAAAUUCCUUGUCGGGUAAGUUCCGACCUGCACGAGGGCAUAACAACAUCCGCACUGUCUCGACCAGGGACUCAGCGAAAUUACAUUGGGGGUGAAGAUGCCCUCUACCCGCGGAAAGACGGAAAGACCCCAUGAACCUUUACUGCAACUUGGCAGUGAUUUUCGGGUUGUUCUGCGUAGGAUAGGUGGGAGGCUUUGAAGCCGGGCUUCCGGGUUCGGCAGAGCCAACGUUGAAAUACCACCCUGAAUAAUCUGGAAAUCUAACCUGCGCCCAUGAUCUGGGCGAGGGACACUGCCUGGUGGGCAGUUUGACUGGGGCGGUCGCCUCCUAAAUUGUAACGGAGGCGUGCGACGGUUCCCUCAGGCUGAUUGGAAACCAGCCGUAGAGUGCAAACGCAUAAGGGAGCUUUACUGCGAGACUGACAAGUCGAACAGUUGCGAAAGCAGGUGUUAGUGAUCCGGUGGUACCACAUGGAAGGGCCAUCGCUCAUCGGAUAAAAGGUACUCUGGGGAUAACAGGCUGAUCGCGCCUGAGAGUUCACAUCGGCGGCGCGGUUUUGGCACCUCGAUGUCGGCUCAUCGCAUCCUGGGGCUGGAGCAGGUCCCAAGGGUUUGGCUGUUCGCCAAUUAAAGCGGUACACGAGCUGGGUUUAAAACGUCGUGAGACAGUUUGGUCCCUAUCUUCCGUGGGCGCAGGACACUUGAGAGGAGCUAUCCAUAGUACGAGAGGACCUGGAUGGACGAACCUCUGGUGCUCCGGUUGUCACGCCAGUGGCAUAGCCGGGUAGCCAUGUUCGGAACAGAUAACCGCUGAAGGCAUAUAAGCGGGAAGCUGGCCUCAAGACUAGGUGUCCCUGACGCAAGUCACUAAAGGCCCCUCGAAGACUACGAGGUUGAUAGGCUCGGUGUGUAAGCGCUGCGAGGCGUGGAGCUAACGAGUACUAAUAGGCCGUGCGACUUGACCCC
RNAcentral lists this ribosomal RNA (1293 nucleotides) under metagenome. RNAcentral describes it as "bacterial LSU rRNA". It matches the Rfam family "Bacterial large subunit ribosomal RNA", at positions 1649 to 2925 of the family's 2925-position model. The record is from RNAcentral.